CUACGGGAAGCAGCAGCAAGGAAUUUUCGUCAAUGGCGCAAGCCUGACGAGCAACGCCGCGUGGAGGAUGACGGCUUCGGGUGUAAACUCCUUUGUGGGGGAUGAUACUGACAGUACCCCGCGAAUAAGGCUCGGCUAACUCUGUGCCAGCAGCCGCGGUAAUACAGAGGAGCCAAGCGUUGUCCCGGAUUGACUGGGCGUAAAGCGCACGCAGGUGGUCGUGCAAGUGUCGUGUGAAAGCAGCUCGCUCAACGAGCUGAGGCAUGGCAGACUGCAUCACUCGAGCCCGUGAGAGGUCGGUGGAAUUGCCGGUGUAGUAGUGAAAUACGUAGAGAUCGGCAGGAACACCCAAGGGGAAGCCAGCCGACUGGCACGGUGCUGACACUGAGGUGCGACAGCGUGGGGAGCAGACGGGAUUAGAUACCCCGGUAGUCCACGCCGUAAACGAUGGAUACUCGCCCUAUGGCGGCUCAAUGCCGUUGUGGGGCCAAGUUAACACGCUAAGUAUCCCGCCUGGGAACUACGAGCGCAAGCUUAAAACUCAAAGGAAUUGACGGGGGCCCGCACAAGCAGCGGAGCGUGUGGUUUAAUUCGACGCAACGCGCAGAACCUUACCCAGGUUUGACAUGCAGCUGCAAGCUUCUCAAAGGAAGCUGCCUUCGAGGGUGCUGCACAGGUGCUGCAUGGCUGUCGUCAGCUCGUGUCGUGAGAUGUUGGGUUAAGUCCCGCAACGAGCGCAACCCUUGCGGCCAGUUACUUGUGUCUGGCCGGACUGCCCCUUUGGGGAGGAAGGCGGGGAUGACGUCAAGUCCGCAUGGCCCUUACACCUGGGGCGACACACACGCUACAAUGCCGCCGAUAAUGCGCAGCGACCCUGCAAGGGCAAGCGAAUCGGCAAACGGCGGCCUAGUGCAGAUUGAGGGCUGCAACUCGCCCUCAUGAAGACGGAGUUGCUAGUAACCGCGCAUCAGCAAUGGCGCGGUGAAUACGUUCCCGGG
RNAcentral lists this ribosomal RNA (998 nucleotides) under uncultured bacterium. RNAcentral describes it as "bacterial SSU rRNA". It matches the Rfam family "Bacterial small subunit ribosomal RNA", at positions 339 to 1378 of the family's 1533-position model. The record is from RNAcentral.